Molecule: ribosomal RNA, 1458 nt
Filed under: Salmonella enterica subsp. enterica serovar Glostrup
Lineage: Bacteria; Pseudomonadati; Pseudomonadota; Gammaproteobacteria; Enterobacterales; Enterobacteriaceae
Description: bacterial SSU rRNA
Rfam family: Bacterial small subunit ribosomal RNA
Source: RNAcentral
CGGUAACAGGAAGCAGCUUGCUGCUUUGCUGACGAGUGGCGGACGGGUGAGUAAUGUCUGGGAAACUGCCUGAUGGAGGGGGAUAACUACUGGAAACGGUGGCUAAUACCGCAUAACGUCGCAAGACCAAAGAGGGGGACCUUCGGGCCUCUUGCCAUCAGAUGUGCCCAGAUGGGAUUAGCUUGUUGGUGAGGUAACGGCUCACCAAGGCGACGAUCCCUAGCUGGUCUGAGAGGAUGACCAGCCACACUGGAACUGAGACACGGUCCAGACUCCUACGGGAGGCAGCAGUGGGGAAUAUUGCACAAUGGGCGCAAGCCUGAUGCAGCCAUGCCGCGUGUAUGAAGAAGGCCUUCGGGUUGUAAAGUACUUUCAGCGGGGAGGAAGGUGUUGUGGUUAAUAACCGCAGCAAUUGACGUUACCCGCAGAAGAAGCACCGGCUAACUCCGUGCCAGCAGCCGCGGUAAUACGGAGGGUGCAAGCGUUAAUCGGAAUUACUGGGCGUAAAGCGCACGCAGGCGGUCUGUCAAGUCGGAUGUGAAAUCCCCGGGCUCAACCUGGGAACUGCAUUCGAAACUGGCAGGCUUGAGUCUUGUAGAGGGGGGUAGAAUUCCAGGUGUAGCGGUGAAAUGCGUAGAGAUCUGGAGGAAUACCGGUGGCGAAGGCGGCCCCCUGGACAAAGACUGACGCUCAGGUGCGAAAGCGUGGGGAGCAAACAGGAUUAGAUACCCUGGUAGUCCACGCCGUAAACGAUGUCUACUUGGAGGUUGUGCCCUUGAGGCGUGGCUUCCGGAGCUAACGCGUUAAGUAGACCGCCUGGGGAGUACGGCCGCAAGGUUAAAACUCAAAUGAAUUGACGGGGGCCCGCACAAGCGGUGGAGCAUGUGGUUUAAUUCGAUGCAACGCGAAGAACCUUACCUGGUCUUGACAUCCACGGAAGAAUCCAGAGAUGGAUUGGUGCCUUCGGGAACUGUGAGACAGGUGCUGCAUGGCUGUCGUCAGCUCGUGUUGUGAAAUGUUGGGUUAAGUCCCGCAACGAGCGCAACCCUUAUCCUUUGUUGCCAGCGGUCCGGCCGGGAACUCAAAGGAGACUGCCAGUGAUAAACUGGAGGAAGGUGGGGAUGACGUCAAGUCAUCAUGGCCCUUACGACCAGGGCUACACACGUGCUACAAUGGCGCAUACAAAGAGAAGCGACCUCGCGAGAGCAAGCGGACCUCAUAAAGUGCGUCGUAGUCCGGAUUGGAGUCUGCAACUCGACUCCAUGAAGUCGGAAUCGCUAGUAAUCGUGGAUCAGAAUGCCACGGUGAAUACGUUCCCGGGCCUUGUACACACCGCCCGUCACACCAUGGGAGUGGGUUGCAAAAGAAGUAGGUAGCUUAACCUUCGGGAGGGCGCUUACCACUUUGUGAUUCAUGACUGGGGUGAAGUCGUAACAAGGUAACCGUAGGGGAACCUGC